RNAcentral lists this unclassified non-coding RNA (344 nucleotides) under soil metagenome. RNAcentral describes it as "partial contains 5.8S ribosomal RNA, internal transcribed spacer 2, and large subunit ribosomal RNA". The stretch from base 1 to 119 matches the Rfam family "5.8S ribosomal RNA", at positions 35 to 154 of the family's 154-position model. The record is from RNAcentral.
GAUGAAGAACGUAGUGAAAUGCGAUAAGUAAUGCGAAUUGCAGAAUCCGUGAGUCAUCGAGUCUUUGAACGCACAUUGCGCCCCCUGGUAUUCCGGGGGGCAUGCCUGUCCGAGCGUCAUUGCUGCCCUCAAGCACGGCUUGUGUGUUGGGCCUCCGUCCUCCUCCCGGGGGACGGGCCCGAAAGGCAGCGGCGGCACCGCGUCCGGUCCUCGAGCGUAUGGGGCUUCGUCACCCGCUCUUGUAGGCCCGGCCGGCGCUUGCCGACACAUCAAUCUUUUUUCCAGGUUGACCUCGGAUCAGGUAGGGAUACCCGCUGAACUUAAGCAUAUCAAUAAGCGGAGGA